This 465-nucleotide ribosomal RNA is filed under the name uncultured bacterium. Its description in RNAcentral is "partial 16S ribosomal RNA". It matches the Rfam family "Bacterial small subunit ribosomal RNA", at positions 28 to 507 of the family's 1533-position model. The record is from RNAcentral.
GACGAACGCUGGCGGCGUGCUUAACACAUGCAAGUCGAACGGAAAGGCCCCAUUGGGGGUACUCGAGUGGCGAACGGGUGAGUAACACGUGAGUAACCUGCCCUUGACUUCGGGAUAACUUCAGGAAACUGGGGCUAAUACCGGAUAGGAAUCCUUGCUGCAUGGUGGGGGUUGGAAAGCUUCGGCGGUUUUGGAUGGACUCGCGGCUUAUCAGCUUGUUGGUGGGGUAGUGGCUUACCAAGGCUUUGACGGGUAGCCGGCCUGAGAGGGCGACCGGCCACAUUGGGACUGAGAUACGGCCCAGACUCCUACGGGAGGCAGCAGUGGGGAAUAUUGCACAAUGGGCGGAGGCCUGAUGCAGCAACGCCGCGUGCGGGAUAACGGCCUUCGGGUUGUAAACCGCUUUCAGCAGGGGCGAAGCUUGUGGUGACGGUACCUGCAGAAGAAGCACCGGCUAACUACGUG